GUAAAUAACCACUAUACAGUUAGACAUCAUUCAUUACCAAAACUGUCUGUUAAUUUACCCCCCCCCCCCCCCAUGAGAUCUGAGGUGCAAAUUUUGUUUUAAUGUUAAUGGCUUGUUUAAGUGAUGUCUUCUGUCCCUCUGUCGUGCAUGGUUUCUCAAAACCCCAACCAAUUAACCAAAAACCUCAAAAUCCACUCGCUUCGUAGCAGACUUCGCUAGACGAACUCGCUAGCAUAGGAAAAAUCUGCUCGAAAUUAGCGAUUUUCGCUAUUUAUCGAUGUAAACAAACCGAGAGGUGAGAGAGAGAGAGAGAGAGAGAGCUGGCUGUUGUGUUUUUAUUCCUAUAAUUAACAUUAUUUCUGUGAUUUUUUGUCUACGAAUUAAAUCAAGACGAGUGAGAGAAACGAUGCCGACAGACGACGAGUUAUCAAAGCUGGCGGAGGAGGCUUUACUGCGAGAAGCGAAGAGAGGAGCACAAAGGGCUGAAACUUGUGGACCAUCGGGAUGGUUGAAAAAUAGACUUCCUUCAACAAAUAAAACCUUCCUUCAUAACACAAUUUUAGGGGCACUGGCAUCCAACAAAGCUAAAGAGAGGAAGGAAAAAAGUCAGAGUGAGCGAGCAAAGAGAAAGAGGGAGCAAGAAGAAAAGGAGAGGAACACAUAUAAAAGACUUUACAUACAUGCAAGCACCAAGGCAAAAGCUUCACUUGCAAACACAAGCAGAAAAGCUGCACAGAAUGAAGAAGGCAGCAGAGAACCCAGAGAUAAAAAUAAAAAGGAAAAGUUGAUGAUAUGGAGUGAAAAUGGCUUGGAAAUUUCAUCAAGCAACAGAGGCACAGAAAAGAAGAAAUCAAAAGACAGUAAGAUCGCUAUAAAUGACGUCUCGUCAAAGAAGGACAGAUCGAAAAUAUUAUCGAGAAAUAUCAAUUUUGUCUCAAGUACUUUGGAGGAUGAGACUGAAACAUAGUGAAUAUGAAACCUUGUGAAUGCCCUUUCCCAUAUACAAAAUAUUUUUAAUAUAUAAAUAAAUUUUCUACCAUUAUCCAUUAGUGAAUAGAAAUGUUUUUUCAAAGUGUAACAGGGAAUAAAAUCAAGUAAACAGAUUGAAACAUAUUUUUGAAAUGAUUGCACAUACAUUUUUUGGAGAAUUUUAUGUGUGCAAAGAACCAAGAUUAAGGUGGUACAUGAGGAAAAACUGGCUCAGGAAUAACCCCAGUCUUCAAACCUUCACGAUCUGGAGUCGUGUAAAACUGCAAUGUCCAGAAAGCUCAAGUGGUCCGCCAUUAGCACAAAAACUGCAGCGAGCCAGACAGACGUGUUCCUAACUCUCAGAAGAGGAUUUAUUUAUUCAGUAAAGGCUGGGCAAGUGUGCACAAAAACCCAUAUUACGCUUGUCUGAGAUGAUCUUCCUAAAGCACACAAUAGCAAAGGUAGUCCAGUUACCUAAGCUACAAGUGCUUAUUACCUUUGGACAUCAAACCUUGGAAACCAGUAAGCAUUUUCUGAUUGCUCAAAUGCUACUCAGGGUAUAUACAAUGCGAGUACCCAGGUUAAUAAUAACAUAUAUCAGGAGCCAGUGAAGUUACCAACAGGCAGUGCUUUAACCUUGGAGAUCAGGGAUUGCUUUUGUGAAGUGCAUGGCCUGCAUGGAUGUUACAGUCAUCCAAGCCUUUAGGGACUAGUGUAAAUUAUACAAGCAUAGGAAGGGAUAUUAUUCAGUUAAAGCCAGAUUGUGUAAGGACUCUAAUGAAAUCAUCCCUGCCAAGCACUAGAAAGGGAGAAAAUUAAAGGAAGACAUUCCCUAAGACAGAAAAACCUGCUAUUGUUAAUAAUAUGCAUUUUUAAAGUUUCACAAUAAAUGGACCAAAGCUGAAGAAUACUAGAGACCACUGCAUGCACUAUGUGGGAGAUUCAAAGAAAAUUCAAUGAAAUUUGAUGCUAGGGGAACCACCAGCAAGGGCUGAACCAAAUUGUGUCCCUCAAGUUCAGUUCCUAGCAGCUGAUAGAUGAAACAGUACACAUGAUGGUCUUCACACGAGUCCCUAUUGAGAGCUCCAACUAGCACACACACCAAAUGCUCAUACCCAUAAACUGCACACCAGUUUUCAUGCCCACAAAGCCGUCAAAAGAGGUUUGUUAGCCUUCUCAAGAGGUGCCUUGCCUUCCUGGUGAAAAGGAUGCAGAUGGGACUCUACAGCACUAAAGAGAUCACUAUCACCACUGCUGUCCUUCACAGCAUGGUCAUUCAGCCGAAUGUUUCCCCUGCUCCAGGGAAUAGAUGGCCAACACUCCGAUGGGAAAGCAGUAAUGAUAUCUCAAAUUUAACCUACUAGCUAUGGAUGGCAUGACAUACAUGCUGUGUCCAUUGCAAUUUUAGUUUAUUUAUGUGUUUACACAUAAUAAACCUACUUCAAUCAGUGAUCAAGAUCUCAAAGGAACACUUGCAACUGCAUGAAGUUUCUUGCCACUUGGUGACAGCUGCUGGAACAUCAGCAACAGAAUUGCUGCUUUGCAUGAGAGACAUACAAGGUCAUUGGUCACCUCUCCUCAAUACUGAACUGUCUGUCCUUGAUGAUGUGUUUACAUACAGAUGGUUCCACAAUUGCUUAGUCACCAAGGACUCAGUUGUCAAUCUUACCUAUCUCACCCGUUUACCCUUUUCUGUAUUUUUUAAUUGUUGUUAGUAUUUUAAUAUCAUGAUAAUAAUCAUCAUGUUAAAAAUAACAAUAAUAUUAUCGCUGUUAAAAGUGUUGGAAAAAAAACCCUGAGACAUGGUCACUAGGGCCUAAUUGACUUUAUGGUAGCAGAGUACUUGUGGAGCCAUCUGUGAGCAACUAAAUUCACCAAAAAACUACAGUGGACAGUACAUGUACCUGUGGUUGAUGGGUUAAGCCCAGGAAAAGAACCCUUAUCAGGGAGGAGAGGAAUUCUGAGAGAGAAACUAUUGGUACCAAAUUUUUUCUAGAUUCACGUCCAAGUAUAGUGUGUUAUUUGUGGCGGUGCUGUACUGUGCCACUACAUGAUUUUGAAUUCUUUACUGAGUAUUAUUUUGUACUGAGUUUGAAUACUGACAUGUUUUAUAUAAGGAUUGUUAUCUAAUACUUAAUUCUUUUAUACAUUUAUAACAUACUCUAAUUUAAAGUUUUAUUACUAUCACAACAUAAUAAAUUGAUAUGAAGAAACAAAAACUUGUCUGCUUGUAUUCAACUGCAUAUUUGGUCAUAGAAACAACUGGCUUAUAAUAAAAUGACAAAAAUAUAAAUUAUUGAAUGUACGUGUUCCUUUCCUGCAUUCCUUUAGUAUUAACAGAGUCUUGUGAUUUGUUAAUAGCAGUUAAGGUGUAUAUAUAUUUAAAGCCCUGU
RNAcentral lists this long non-coding RNA (3362 nucleotides) under Penaeus chinensis. RNAcentral's name for it is "uncharacterized LOC125039824". The record is from RNAcentral. Lineage: Eukaryota; Metazoa; Arthropoda; Malacostraca; Decapoda; Penaeidae.